UAACGAAGCUGCUUAGUGUCUGUAGAAUUAUGCGCAUGAAACGCAGAAACUCACCUGCAUGGACGCAGGUGAGAGGAGAAGACGCGCCAUGGACGGCGCGUUUCGACGUUUUCGUCAAGCAUAGAAGCCCUUCAAAGCAUAAUUCGUACAGACACUUUGCAGCGCAGUGU
The submitters of this non-coding RNA (170 nucleotides) gave its source as unclassified sequences. The record is from Rfam.